UUAGAGUUUGAUCCUGGCUCACGAUGAACGCUGGCGGCGUGCCUAAUACAUGCAAGUCGUGCGAGGUUCUUCGGAACCUAGCGGCGAACGGGUGAGUAACACGUAUUCAAUCUGCCCUAAAGAUGGGAUACCUCGGGAAACCUUGGCUAAUACCGGAUAGGAACUUUGAUCGCAUGAUCUUAGUUUGAAAGUACCGUUUGGUGCACUUUAGGAUGAGAAUGCGGCGCAUUAGUUAGUUGGUGAGGUAACGGCCCACCAAGACGAAGAUGCGUAGCCGGCCUGAGAGGGUGAUCGGCCACAAUGGAACUGAGACACGGUCCAUAGGGCUACGGGAGGCAGCAGUAGGGAGUUUUCGGCAAUGGGGGAAACCCUGACCGAGCAACGCCGCGUGAAUGAUGAAGGCCUUCGGGUCGUAAAAUUCUGUUGUAAGAGACGAACUGUGAGGGUAGGAAAUGCCCCUCACUUGACUGUAUCUUACGAGAAAGGGACGGCUAACUACGUGCCAGCAGCCGCGGUAAUACGUAGGUCCCAAGCGUUAUCCGGAAUUAUUGGGCGUAAAGAGUGAGUAGGUGGUUUCUUAAGUCUGGAGUUAAAGGCAGUAGCUCAACUAUUGUACGCUUUGGAAACUGGGAGACUAGAGUGCGGGAGAGGUAAAUGGAACUCCAUGUGUAGCGGUAAAAUGCGUAGAUAUAUGGAAGAACACCAGUGGCGAAGGCGAUUUACUAGACCGAUACUGACACUGAAUCACGAGAGCGUGGGUAGCAAAUAGGAUUAGAUACCCUAGUAGUCCACGCCGUAAACGAUGAGCAGUAAGUGUAGGGGUUACCCUGUGCUGAAGUUAACACAUUAAGUGCUCCGCCUGGGUAGUACGUUCGCAAGAAUGAAACUUAAAGGAAUUGACGGGGGCCCGCACAAGCAGUGGAGCAUGUGGUUUAAUUCGACGCUACGCGAAGAACCUUACCAGGACUUGACAUGGAAUUAAAGGCCUCAGAGAUGAGGAGAUAGUUAUAGUUCACACAGGUGGUGCAUGGUUGUCGUCAGCUCGUGUCGUGAGAUGUUGGGUUAAGUCCCGCAACGAGCGCAACCCUUGCCCUUAGUUACCAUCAUUAAGUUGGGGACUAUAGGGGGACCGCCGGUUUAAACCGGAGGAAGAUGGGGAUGACGUCAAAUCAUCAUGCCCUUUAUGUCCUGGGCGACACACGUGCUACAAUGGCCGGUACAAAGAGAAGCAAUAUGGUGACAUGGAGCAAAUCUCAAAAAGCCGGUCUCAGUUCGGAUUGUAGUCUGCAACUCGACUACAUGAAGCUGGAAUUGCUAGUAAUCGCGAAUCAGCCAUGUCGCGGUGAAUACGUUCACCGGGCCAUUGUACACAUCGCGCCACGUCCAAGAGGCGAAAUUUCUGUUUAAACCAUAUCAGGANCUGGUCCCCAUUUCAGUGAGCGCUAAUUCUGGCUGCAGUCUGG
RNAcentral lists this ribosomal RNA (1463 nucleotides) under uncultured bacterium. RNAcentral describes it as "bacterial SSU rRNA". It matches the Rfam family "Bacterial small subunit ribosomal RNA". The record is from RNAcentral.